Molecule: long non-coding RNA, 406 nt
Organism: Pseudopipra pipra
Lineage: Eukaryota; Metazoa; Chordata; Aves; Passeriformes; Pipridae
Exons: 3
Source: RefSeq, a predicted model, not a curated record
CCAGGUUAAGCAACAGCAUAGUAACACUGCUGGACUGACUGAGAUUCUUCAACGGUAUUCAUGGCAGGUUAAUUCUGUGCAUGUCAACGAUUAUCCCGACUCUGGCGUUCUGAGCUGAGCACGAGCAAACACAGGCUGUGUAUUUGCUAGAACCAGCCAUCACAAAGAGGCACUGCUGCUGCCAGCGCCUGACAGAAACACGACAAAGCACAGCGUCUGUCCCACCCGCACCGCCACGAUGACCCCAAAGCCCCGUCAGAAGCCCCUCGCCGAGCUGAAAUGUCCCUGAGGAGAGUUUCGUGUGCAGUUUUUUGCACCAUGCAUCUAGAAAGGUGAGGACCAACUGAGGGGGGCAGAGAGGUGAGCCACAGGAAUACUACUUUAAUCAUAACUUCUGUGGAAAGGA